This 449-nucleotide ribosomal RNA is filed under the name uncultured bacterium. Its description in RNAcentral is "bacterial SSU rRNA". It matches the Rfam family "Bacterial small subunit ribosomal RNA", at positions 355 to 796 of the family's 1533-position model. The record is from RNAcentral.
UGGGGAAUUUUGGACAAUGGGGGAAACCCUGAUCCAGCCAUGCCGCGUGAGUGAAGAAGGCCUUCGGGUUGUAAAGCUCUUUCAGACGGAAAGAAACGGUUACGGCUAAUACCCGUGACUAAUGACGGUACCGUCAGAAGAAGCACCGGCUAACUACGUGCCAGCAGCCGCGGUAAUACGUAGGGUGCGAGCGUUAAUCGGAAUUACUGGGCGUAAAGCGUGCGCAGGCGGUUUUGUAAGACAGGCGUGAAAUCCCCGGGCUUAACCUGGGAACUGCGUUUGUGACUGCAAGACUAGAGUGCGGCAGAGGGGGGUAGAAUUCCACGUGUAGCAGUGAAAUGCGUAGAUAUGUGGAGGAAUACCGAUGGCGAAGGCAGCCCCCUGGGUCGACACUGACGCUCAUGCACGAAAGCGUGGGGAGCAAACAGGAUUAGAUACCCCUGUAGUCC